Molecule: transfer RNA, 85 nt
Filed under: bacterium
Lineage: Bacteria
Description: tRNA-Tyr
Rfam family: tRNA
About the family: Transfer RNA (tRNA) molecules are approximately 80 nucleotides in length. Their secondary structure includes four short double-helical elements and three loops (D, anti-codon, and T loops).
Source: RNAcentral
CCAGGGGUGCCGGAGUGGCAAUCGGAGCAGACUGUAAAUCUGCUGGCGCAAGCCUUCGCAGGUUCGAAUCCUGCCCCCUGGACCA